GAUGAAGAACGCAGCGAAAUGCGAUACGUAAUGUGAAUUGCAGAAUUCAGUGAAUCAUCGAAUCUUUGAACGCAUAUUGCGCUCUCUGGUAUUCCGGAGAGCAUGCUUGUUUGAGUAUCAGUAAACACCUCAACUCCCCUUUCUUUUUUUGAAAUGGGAGCUGGACUUGAGUGAUCCCAACGCUUUUCUCACCGAAAAGUGGCGGGUUACUUGAAAUGCAGGUGCAGCUGGACUUUUCUCUGAGCUAAAAGCAUAUCUAUUUAGUCUGCCUAAAAAACAGAUUAUUACCUUUGCUGCAGCUAACAUAAAGGAGAUUAGUUCUUGUGCUGACUGAUGCAGGAUUCACAGAGACAGCUUCGGCUGGCCUUUGUAAACUCGAUCUCAAAGCAAGUAAGACUACCCGCUGAACUUAAGCAUAUCAAUAAGCGGAGGA
RNAcentral lists this unclassified non-coding RNA (433 nucleotides) under soil metagenome. RNAcentral's name for it is "partial contains 5.8S ribosomal RNA, internal transcribed spacer 2, and large subunit ribosomal RNA". The stretch from base 1 to 120 matches the Rfam family "5.8S ribosomal RNA", at positions 35 to 154 of the family's 154-position model. The record is from RNAcentral.